CUAAGUUUCGAUAAAGACGUGGAAGAUAGAAGUGGAAGUGCAUAUCGUUUCAACGUUUUUGUUAUGAACAUCGGAUUAAAAUUUGAAGUUGUGAACUUAAUUGUUAUAAACAUUGGAUAAACGAUGGCAUUAAGGAGGAUACCGUACCUAUUUCGUCGAAGAUCCACUCGUGAGAGAACGAGGAUGAGAUGGUGAGUGGGAAGGCGCAGAGAGGCAUGCGGCUGUCACUGAUCGCAAGGUUGAUGAUGUAACGGUCGUUACGGGACAGGCGGGACCAGUUCGAGAAGCACGUGUGCACGACCAUCACGUUUAGCGUCACCGCGAAGAAACCUGUGGGAGAGAAAAAUAAAAGGCAUCAUAGGCGGAGAUAGGGGACAAGUGGAAAUCUCUAGGACAAGUGGAAUUAGUUCUUCACUAGUUCUGAGAGGGAUCCAAUCAUCGCAGCAAGGUAUCGCCUCAUUUCGGCGUUGCUUACGCAGGUCGCUUUUCACCCAGAUGGUGUGUGGUAAUUAAGCAGCAAGCAAUCGGUACCCGACUUGGAUUGUGAAAAUUGCGCUGAAAUCAUGACUGCAUUGCAAGUGUAUUAUGUUACUGUCUUCCUUGUAGGCAGUGUUCAUCUUACCGGCUUCUGCGCAUUUGAAACUAUUCAGGAAUGUCCUGAUUGGCCAAGUUGUUCAAAACGUUGUGGAGGCGGGCAACAAUGUCGAACAUGCGAGUUAUGUUUGUUGAUAAAUAUACCAAAAACUGGAUUGUCAGAACUGCAACGAAUAUUGUGUUAAUGGUUAUUCAUUUGUGAACGGAGGAUGCCUUUGUCCGAGUUGGAGAUCGGGAGAAUGUUGUGAGGUCUGCAGACAUAUAAACAUCCCCAACUGUGUCUCUGGACAACAGCAAUGCGGCGGGUACCCUGAUGGCAUCAUGUGUACCCAGUGUGAGUCUGGAUAUUAUUCAGGCGGAUACAACCAAGGAUGUUUAGGUACAUCAAGCAUUCCAGUAACAUCACUGUCGAAUACAACAACAAAGGGUCAGACAAUUGUGACAACACAUACUACACGAAAAACCAUCCUACAAAGAAAACAAACACUAUCGCUUGAAAUCGCAACACCACCAAAGAAUAUACAAUCAACCGCCUCCUCGUCGACAACUUCAAGUCACUCUGACUCUUCAUACCAAGAGGCCCCUCAAA
Dreissena polymorpha is the source of this 1183-nucleotide long non-coding RNA. RefSeq lists it as uncharacterized. NCBI's taxonomy places the organism in Eukaryota, Metazoa, Mollusca, Bivalvia, Myida, Dreissenidae. The record is from RefSeq and is a predicted model, not a curated record. The transcript is spliced from 8 exons.